AUUGAACGCUGGUGGCAGGCCUAACACAUGCAAGUCGAGCGGAUGAAGGGAGCUUGCUCCUGGAUUCAGCGGCGGACGGGUGAGUAAUGCCUAGGAAUCUGCCUGGUAGUGGGGGAUAACGUCCGGAAACGGGCGCUAAUACCGCAUACGUCCUGAGGGAGAAAGUGGGGGAUCUUCGGACCUCACGCUAUCAGAUGAGCCUAGGUCGGAUUAGCUAGUUGGUGGGGUAAAGGCCUACCAAGGCGACGAUCCGUAACUGGUCUGAGAGGAUGAUCAGUCACACUGGAACUGAGACACGGUCCAGACUCCUACGGGAGGCAGCAGUGGGGAAUAUUGGGCAAUGGGCGAAAGCCUGAUCCAGCCAUGCCGCGUGUGUGAAGAAGGUCUUCGGAUUGUAAAGCACUUUAAGUUGGGAGGAAGGGCAGUAAGUUAAUACCUUGCUGUUUUGACGUUACCAACAGAAUAAGCACCGGCUAACUUCGUG
RNAcentral lists this ribosomal RNA (484 nucleotides) under uncultured bacterium. Its description in RNAcentral is "partial 16S ribosomal RNA". It matches the Rfam family "Bacterial small subunit ribosomal RNA", at positions 30 to 507 of the family's 1533-position model. The record is from RNAcentral.